This is a long non-coding RNA of Salvelinus namaycush (lake trout), 1030 nucleotides long. RefSeq lists it as uncharacterized. The record is from RefSeq and is a predicted model, not a curated record. Lineage: Eukaryota; Metazoa; Chordata; Actinopteri; Salmoniformes; Salmonidae. The transcript has 2 exons.
UGUUUGCUGGUUUUUCUUACUUCCUUUCAUUUUGUGUCAAUGAAUUCCUAGAGAGUCAGGUGAGGGGAGUUCCUAAUUAAUCAAUAAAGAUCUAGAGAGUCAGGUGAGGGGAGUUCCUAAUUAAUCAAUAAAGAUCUAGACAGUCAGGUGAGGGGAGUUCCUAAUUAAUCAAUAAAGAUCUAGAGAGUCAGGUGAGGGGAGUUCCUAAUUAAUCAAUAAAGAUCUAGACAGUCAGGUGAGGGGAGUUCCUAAUUAAUCAAUAAAGACCUAGACAGUCAGGUGAGGGGAGUUCCUAAUUAAUCAAUAAAGACCUAGACAGUCAGGUGAGGGGAGUUCCUAAUUAAUCAAUAAAGACCUAGACAGUCAGGUGAGGGGAGUUCCUAAUUAAUCAAUAAAGACCUAGACAGUCAGGUGAGGGGAGUUCCUAAUUAAUCAAUAAAGACCUAGACAGUCAGGUGAGGGGAGUUCCUAAUUAAUCAAUAAAGACCUAGACAGUCAGGUGAGGGGAGUUCCUAAUUAAUCAAUGACCUUUAUUGAUCAAUCAAGUACAAGAGAGUAGUGAAAACCUGCAGACCCUCGAGGACUGGAGUUUGACACUAUCCCAUAAGCAACGUCUCUGUCUCUAAUCAUAUCAGAAUGUAGCCUGUUAAACGUACCUGCUUAACCAUUAACUAAUAUGUUCCUGUAUAGAUAUACACAUUACAGAACUCUGUAGGAAUGCAUGAGGUUAUAUAACUAACUAUAAUUGUCCAUCUAUGUAAUCAGUCCAUUGAUGGAGCAUACAACUACGACCUGUAGUUGUAGUUCCAACUGAACAGAUGAUGUGUAGUAACCAGUAAAGGCCUCUGCAUCCCGAAUAGCUUCCUAUUUAGGGCACAUAGGGCACUGGUCAAACGUAGUGUACUAUAUAGCAAAUAAGAUGCAAUUUGGAACGCAGAGGCAUAUGUAACAGCCAGUCAAGGCCCUCGCAUGUAAAGGGUAGGAUGACUAUUCUCAUGUUGGAUGUCUCAAAUAAACGGUAUGAUGGCUA